CAAAGGUUUGGUCCUGACUUUUCUGUCAACUCUAACUAAACUUACACAUGCAAGUAUCCGCACCCCCGUGAGAAUGCCCCACAGUUUUCUUCCCGAAAACAAGGAGCUGGUAUCAGGCACACAACCCUAAAGCCCACGACACCUUGCACAGCCACACCCCCAAGGGAACUCAGCAGUGAUAAACAUUAAGCCAUAAGUGAAAACUUGACCUAGCUAUGGUUAAUAGAGCCGGUAAAACUCGUGCCAGCCACCGCGGUUAUACGAGAGGCUCAAGUUGACAAACUACGGCGUAAAGAGUGGUUAAGAACAUUCCAAAAUAAAGUCGAAUGCUUUCAAAGCUGUCAUACGCACCUGAAAGUAAGAAGCCCAAUCACGAAGGUAACUUUACAUAAUUCUGACCCCACGAAAGCUAGGCCACAAACUGGGAUUAGAUACCCCACUAUGCCCAGCCUUAAACAUUAAUAGCACUCUACAUUAGCUAUUCGCCAGGGAACUACGAGCCCCAGCUUAAAACCCAAAGGACUUGGCGGUGCUUUAAAUCCACCUAGAGGAGCCUGUUCUAUAACCGAUAACCCCCGUUCAACCUCACCUUCUUUUGUUAACCCCGCCUAUAUACCGCCGUCGUCAGCUUACCCCCCAAGGGAUAAACAGUAAGCAUAAUUGGUUCAUCCCCAAACGUCAGGUCGAGGUGUAGCGCAUGAGAAGGAAAGAAAUGGGCUACAUUCACUACCUAAGUGAACACGAAUGAUAAAUUGAAACAUUUAUCUGAAGGAGGAUUUAGCAGUAAGCAGGAAAUAGAGCGUUCUGCUGAAACCGGUUCUAAAGCGCGCACACACCGCCCGUCACUCUCCCCAAACCACCAUUACCCCCUAACUAAACACAAAACAAUCACAAAGGGGAGGCAAGUCGUAACAUGGUAAGUGUACCGGAAGGUGUACUUGGAAAAAU
RNAcentral lists this non-coding RNA (948 nucleotides) under Mastacembelus favus (tire track eel). RNAcentral's name for it is "12S rRNA". It matches the Rfam family "Bacterial small subunit ribosomal RNA". Lineage: Eukaryota; Metazoa; Chordata; Actinopteri; Synbranchiformes; Mastacembelidae. The record is from RNAcentral.